GUGAAUUCCCGACUUGUCGGGAUAGUAAACUGGCGAACGGGUGAGUAACGCGUAGGUAAUCUGCCCUUGGGAUUGGGAUAAUCCGCCGAAAGGCGGGCUAAUACCGAAUAAAGUCCCGAUACUUAAGCAUUGGGAUGAAAGGUGGGGAUUUUCGGACCUGCUACCUAAGGAUGAGCCUGCGUCUGAUUAGCUAGUUGGUAGAUUAAAAGCCUACCAAGGCUACGAUCAGUAGCUGGUCUGAGAGGAUGAUCAGCCACAUUGGGACUGAGAUACGGCCCAGACUCCUACGGGAGGCAGCAGUGGGGAAUUUUGCGCAAUGGCCGAAAGGCUGACGCAGCAACGCCGCGUGACUGAUUGAAGCUCUGAGGAGUGUAAAGGUCUGUUGUGGGAGAAGAAAAAAUCAGAGGAUAAUAUGUUCUGAUUCUGACGGUAUCCCAUAAGAAAGCUCCGGCUAACUCCGUGCCAGCAGCCGCGGUAAUACGGGGGGAGCAAGCGUUGUCCGGAAUUAUUGGGCGUAAAGAGCGUGUAGGUGUCUCGAUAAGUUUUUUGUGAAAUGCUUCCGCUCAACGGAAGAGCUGCAAGAAAUACUGUCGGGAUUGAGUUCAGAAGGGGGAAGCGGAAUUCCUGGUGUAGCGGUGAAAUGCGUAGAUAUCAGGAAGAACACCGGUAGCGAAGGCGGCUUCCUGGUCUGAAACUGACACUGAGACGCGAAAGCGUGGGGAGCGAACAGGAUUAGAUACCCUGGUAGUCCACGCCGUAAACGAUGGAUACUUGGUGUUGGGAGUUCGACCCUCUCAGUACCGUAGCUAACGCGUUAAGUAUCCCGCCUGGGGACUACGACCGCAAGGUUGAAACUCAAAGGAAUUGACGGGGGCCCGCACAAGCAGCGGAGCGUGUGGUUUAAUUCGAUGCAACGCGAAGAACCUUACCAAGGCUUGACAUGUCGGAAGUAGCGACCCGAAAGGGAAGCCACCUGUUGAGUCAGGAGCCGUCACAGGUGCUGCAUGGCUGUCGUCAGCUCGUGCUGUGAAGUGUUAGGUUAAGUCCUGUAACGAGCGCAACCCUCGUUGCCAGUUGUUUUCUCUGGCGAGACUGCCCUGCAAAAUGGGGAGGAAGGUGGGGAUGACGUCAAGUCAGCACGGCCCUUAUGCCUUGGGCUACACACACGCUACAAUGGGUGGUACAAUGGGUAGCAAUAGAGCAAUCUGGAGCCAAUCCUGUAAAGCCAUCCUCAGUUCGGAUUGCAGGCUGAAACCCGCCUGCAUGAAGUCGGAGUUGCUAGUAACCGCAGGUCAGCAUACUGCGGUGAAUACGUUCUCGGGCCUUGUACACACCGCCCGUCACGUCAUGAAAGUUGGCAACACCUGAAGUCGAUGGGCUAACCCCGACUUGUCGGGGGGGCA
RNAcentral lists this ribosomal RNA (1403 nucleotides) under uncultured bacterium. Its description in RNAcentral is "partial 16S ribosomal RNA". It matches the Rfam family "Bacterial small subunit ribosomal RNA". The record is from RNAcentral.